Molecule: small nuclear RNA, 56 nt
Organism: Cricetulus griseus (Chinese hamster)
Lineage: Eukaryota; Metazoa; Chordata; Mammalia; Rodentia; Cricetidae
Source: Ensembl
UCAUAUACUAAAAUUGGAACAAUACAGAGAAGAUUAGCAAGGUCCCUGUGUAAGGA